Molecule: ribosomal RNA, 253 nt
Filed under: uncultured bacterium
Lineage: Bacteria
Description: partial 16S ribosomal RNA
Rfam family: Archaeal small subunit ribosomal RNA
Source: RNAcentral
UUCCAGCACCCCGAGUGGUCGGGACGUUUAUUGGGCCUAAAGCAUCCGUAGCCGGUUCUACAAGUCUUCCGUUAAAUCCACCUGCUUAACAGAUGGGCUGCGGAAGAUACUAUAGAGCUAGGAGGCGGGAGAGGCAAGCGGUACUCGAUGGGUAGGGGUAAAAUCCGUUGAUCCAUUGAAGACCACCAGUGGCGAAGGCGGCUUGCCAGAACGCGCUCGACGGUGAGGGAUGAAAGCUGGGGGAGCAAACCGG